This 428-nucleotide ribosomal RNA is filed under the name Chloroflexota bacterium. Its description in RNAcentral is "Chloroflexi bacterium partial 16S ribosomal RNA". It matches the Rfam family "Bacterial small subunit ribosomal RNA", at positions 355 to 776 of the family's 1533-position model. Lineage: Bacteria; Bacillati; Chloroflexota. The record is from RNAcentral.
UGGGGAAUAUUGCACAAUGGGCGCAAGCCUGAUGCAGCCAUGCCGCGUGUGUGAAGAAGGCCUUCGGGUUGUAAAGUACUUUCAGCGGGGAGGAAGGGAGUAAAGUUAAUACCUUUGCUCAUUGACGUUACCCGCAGAAGAAGCACCGGCUACUCCGUGCCAGCAGCCGCGGUAAUACGGAGGGUGCAAGCGUUAAUCGGAAUUACUGGGCGUAAAGCGCACGCAGGCGGUUUGUUAAGUCAGAUGUGAAAUCCCCGGGCUCAACCUGGGAACUGCAUUCGAAACUGGCAGGCUAGAGUCUUGUAGAGGGGGGUAGAAUUCCAGGUGUAGCGGUGAAAUGCGUAGAGAUCUGGAGGAAUACCGGUGGCGAAGGCGGCCCCCUGGACAAAGACUGACGCUCAGGUGCGAAAGCGUGGGGAGCAAACAGG